CCCUCUGAAUCAUCCAAAGAAAUAUUUUUGAUUCUGUGCAGUAGAUUGGUGAAAUGAUCCAUGUUAAGAAAUGGCUUUCCCCUACCUCCUCCCCAAAAAAUCUGGCACUGGCACAACAAGGGGGGUCAAUAACUGCAAGACCAUAACAGGGGUCUGGAGUAAAGUGAAAUGGAUAUGCUGUAAUCAAAUUUCCUUGCAAAGAACAAAAAUUUUAAUUGCCCUCUAAAAGCCCCUUAUGAUUUUAUUCUUGUGCAGCAGUCCAUAAGCACCCGAAACGGAUCAACUCUUGUGGUAGUUUUAGUCUAGGCCUUCCUUGGUGACCGGUUUGUAACCAAGGAAGUGGCCAUAUACCCAGUAUUCCCUACGAUUUUUAACGUAAGACGGGGGUAUAAAGAAGAAGGGAGGAGAGGCCUUUGCUCUCUUCCCUUCUGGUGGAUCUGAAGGUGCAGGUUCCCUGCUGUUGGUUCUGCUGUGGGGGGGAGUGAGGCCUAGUGAGGCCUUGUAGACCUUGGGAGGUGGAGGGUGCCGGCGGUCAUUCAGCGUGACUUCUGCUGUCCCAAGGAGAGUAUUUCUAUAGAUUUUUUUCCCCUUUCCUAAAGGGGGAGGGACAGAAAAGGCUUUUGCUGAGCCUUGGAAGUUUGGUGAGAAGCCAGCUCAAAACGUGUUCAACCCUUCAUCAUGUCAAGCUCUCAACAAAUAUGUCUCCAAAACUAUUUUAGCCUGAUCAGACAUUUCAGUCCAAAACUUGGAGUGGAAGACAGAGAAGCAUCUUAGGUCAUAGAGAUAAGUGACUAAUAGAGCUGGGAGAGAAGUUCAAUUAGCCUUGUGACAUCUUGUCCAUUCAACUACCAUGAACUACUAAGAGACUUUCCCUUUCUUUAGCUUCCAGAGCACAUUUUUACUGACAUUCAGCAUCCCAAAAGACUGAAGGUCAAGUAACCUCUUCAGGUCAAGAAGUGGGGUAUGAAAGGCAGAGAGCAUAUUGUUCUUGUUAGAAAUCUCAAAAUUAUGUUCCUGUGGUUUAGGGUAUGGUUGUUCUUUUUUUCUUUCUUUCUUUCUUUAUUUAUUUAUUUACUGUUGCACUUCUUUUUUUACACCAGAAAUCUCUGGAAAAAAGCAAGUAAAAUCAUGCUUUCUUCAUUAUUUUAUGAGACUGCUUUGCAUGAAGGGUUAUUUAACCUUUUGAGUUAGUAACGAAGAGCAAGCUUUCAAACAUUUAUAAAUGUAUUUUCAGAUGUGCCAGUAGCUGUUAUAUAAAGAGUUUGCAAUUAAGAAUUCUAUGAACAGAAUAUUUAAGAAAAACUUGCUGUUAAGAAUGUAAAAUAUGUAGUUUAUUCAUUGCCUAUCUAAAGCAAAAGGUGCCAGACUGCUGUUGGAAACAAUUUUGGAAAACUAAAAAAUGCUUCUCUUUAGAAAGCUUCUAGCCUUUCCAAAUUUGUGCAGUGACAAAAGAAUAUGAAAAGUUUGCAAUGAAUACUUGUCAUCAACAAAAAGAACUUAGGAACAUUGAAUUAAAGCUCAGGCUUCUCUUGCUCUUGAGCUCCAUAUUUGGCAGACCAUUUUUCCUCUCAGAAAAAAUCCAUAGUGACAGGAGAUGAAAGUCACAUGUAAAAGAUGUGCCAAAAAUUUUACAUCCAAAAUACUCUCUCUAUUGUCUUGUACCUUGACUUUUGUUAUUUUUGUUUAGAAAUUUCUGUUUAGAAAUGAUUCAUGGGGCAGAGCUAGAAAAAUGGAAUUUGCACAAUCAAACAGAAAAAAUGCUGGGGAAUCAGAGCAGACAUGUUGUGAAGCCAUGCAUCACACUUAAAUGAUUCUGAAUAAAUGAUCUGUAAAAUCACACCUGUUUAUUUGUAGAUAAUCUACAACAAAAGGAAUAAAAAAAAAAUUAAAAUUCCUGUGACAGCUUGACCAAUUUAAGUUUUUGCAUAAAGAAACCAGCAUGUUUAAAACAAGCUUACACCUUGAAUAAUAGGGCCUUAAAGGGUUGUUCUGCAAUAUUGUAGUUAAGAGAGUAUGUCAGCCAGAAUUAUAUGUGCGCAGAUUUGAAAUAAAAUGAAUGGGUUGUAAAAGACUUGACUGCCCUUGAUCUUUGCACUUGUUCCUCACUGAUGUCUUAAAGAUCUACACAAGUGUAUCAAGACAUCUAUCGUCUCUAUGUAGCUGGCUGGCAAAGUUCCCCAUGCAUAGUGGAUUUGAGUUUAACUUGGUUAUGAUGUAGGGCAAGUAUUACACAUUUUUCAGAAUUUAUGUAGCAAGUUUCAAAGUACUAUUUUGUAAUUUUAAAUAAUAUGUGAUUUUGAAAGGGGUAAAGGUGUUCAUUUCCAGUCCUGCAAAUGUGUUUCUUUCUGAUAAGCAAGUGAGAAGACUGAAAUAUCGUUAGAUUCUGGCAGUACAAAAUGGCAUACCCCCACGCACAGUCUUUGACAGAAAGAAUGUGCUUCCUUUUUUUAAUUUGCAUUUCUAAAUUUGCAGUGGCAGGUUGUGCUGUUUUUGACUGGGGUAAGGGGUGCACAAGGAGAUAGGAGGGGACACAACCAGGACAACUGACUUCAACUGACCAGAGGGAUAUUCCAUACUUAGUGUCAUACUUAGCAUAUAGUGCUGGGGCAAGAAGUAGAAAGGGGGGGACGCUGGGAGUGGUGACAUUUGUGAUCUGUCAUAGUUUAACCACAGCCAGCCACCAUGCCCCACACAGCUGCUUACUCACUCUCCUGCCGUGGAGAUCAGGGAGAUAAUCGGAAGGGUAAGAGCCAGAAAACUCGUGGUUGAGAUAAAUACAGUUAAUAGGAAAAGGAAAACCCACACGCACAAGGAAAAAAGAACAAAGAAUUAAUUCAUAGCUUCCCAUGGGCAGGCAGAUGUUCAGCCAUCUCCAAAAGAGCAGGGCCCCAUCACAUGUGACAGUUACUUAAGAAGACAAACUGCAUCACUCAAAACAUACCACUCUUCCUCCUUCUUCCCCUCCCACUGCAUGUACUAAGUAUGAUGUGAUAUGGUCUGGAAUAUCCCUUGGUCAAUUUGGGUCAUCUCUCCUGGCUGUGUCUCCUCCCAGCCUCCUAUGCAUCCCCAAGUUCCUUGCCAGCAGAGCAGUACGAGAAGCAGAAAAGGCACAGUCUCUGUGUAAGCACUGUUCAACAAUAACAAAAAGAUCUCCAUACUGUCAUCCCUCUGUUCAGCACAAAUCCAAAACAUAGCCCCAUACUAGCCACUGUGAAGAAAAUUAACUCUACUUCAGCCAAAAUCAGCACGUCUUCCCAAGUCAACAUUGUGCAUGAAGGAGUCUGUGUUUUGUGGGGAUGGCUAAACACCUGCCUGACAUUGGGAAGCAGUGAAUUAAUUCCUUAUUUUGCUUUUCUUGCAUGCACAGCUUUUGCUUUAACUAUCAGGCUGUCUUCAUCUCAACCCAUGAGUUUUCUGCUUUACUCUUCCAGUUCUCUCCCUGAUCCCCCUGCUGGGGGAGUGAGAGAGCGGCUGCGUGGGGUUGAGCUGCCGUCUGGGGUUAAACACAAGACAAGUAUGUGUUCUGAAUUUAAUAUUUCUCCCCUAGUUGUUAUGCAGCAUGGUUUACAUUAUUGAACUCUAGGUAGCUGAAGCAAUACUUAAACUGAUAAUAUAUAUGCCUUCACACAGGGCAACUGGAUUCUGUGGAUCCUUUCUGAACAGUGAUGGGGCAAAUUAAGGAAAAAGAAAAGCAUUAAGCAAUGCUUGAAAAAGUACUUUGUCAGCUUCUGACUAUUUAAAACUUUUCUCAUAGGUUUGAUUUGAAACAUCUUGGGUAGUUCUUAUGCUCACACUAGUCAGAAAAGACUCAGUUACAUGGUAAGUAGAACCAAAAAUAGCAAAGAAAUUAUCAGAUAAAUGCUCAGGUACCAGUUUUCUCACAGCAAAAGGGCAAAAUAGUAGAAGGACCAAAGACAAUUCUGUAUGAGAAGGGAGAGAAAUGAAGCCAUUCAUUUCAGAGGGUAAAUACUGAAACUUAGAAAGUUGAAAAGAAAAGCAUUUAACAGAUGCUGAUAUAGCAGAGGGACUAACACUGUUUCAGGAUGUCUAUUAAAUUACCUGCUGUGACAUACACUAAUAUAAAGAAUGGGAAGAGGAGCACUGCUGCAUGUGAGAUACCUUGCCCCAAAGUUCACCAUGCACUUGAGGCCCAGCUACAUGGGUCUCCUCUGCAACAUCCAUAGAAUACAGGUGUUCUGGAAAGAAAUUAGUACAGGGUCUUUGUUGGUUUUUUUUCCUACUUCUAUAUUUGAGUCUUUUCCAGAAAAGAGAACACAGCAAAAAAUACAAGGCUAAAAAGGCCUAAAUUUUAUCUAGACAGACAAUGCCACAUUAACAGAAGUUGGUUGGUGAAAAUGAGAAGGCAUUUUCAUUUCAUAUCUACAGCAGAUUGAUCAGCUUCCAAGCCCAUUCCCAAGGAGUGAAGUGGCAUUUCUUUGUAUUGUGAAACCAGCAAACAUCACAACUAGGGUAAAGAAUCCUUCAAGUGGUGCAUAAUCUGGUACACAACAAGUGUCAUUCAAACUCCCUUAUGUGAGCGAGAUCCACCAGGAGAGGUUCUAUGUGUCUAGUACGGUAUGUCUGAAGAAGAAAAACUAUCCCAAAGGAUAUUAUUCCACUCAUCCGUGUCAAGAGAAGUUAAAUAAUUUUUUCAGAGAAUGAGGCUAUCCAUUGGUUAUCCAUUUCUUAUAUUUUCAUCAUAGAAUAUAUUUUCAAAUAAGAGAGGCUAUGCAGGUCAUUCCUGCACAGGCACAUUCCCUUCUUAAUCCCUGAAUUAAUAUCAGCUAACAAACAAUUGAGCAGUAGGCACUUGGGUGCAUUUCCAUGAUUUAUUGUAGCUUUUUUUGGUGUAUAGUUAUGACUUCUACAGGGUUACUGCCAUUGUAUUUUAAAUAUAUCCAAUUAUUUUCCUUGGCUUCAUAUAGAAUUCUCCUUUUACCUUCUUCAUAUAAAAUAUUUUCACUUAAUGUUCACAUUAAGAUUCACUUAAUACUAAUCUUUUAACUUUUCACUUAAAAAGCGUUCAAGGCCAGGUUGGAUGGUGCUCUAAGUAACUGGUUUAGAGGAAGGUGUUUCUGUUCAUGAUAGGGGCAUUGGAAUUAAAUUAUCUUUAAGGUCUCUUCCAACCCAAACCAUUCUAUGAUUCUGUGAAUAUGCAGCAUCUUUCAAAUUGUUCUAAUAUCAAAUGCCUCAGUUGUUUCUGUCAUGUAAAGUAACUGCUUCUGGCCCAUAGUGUAAUGAUGCCUGCUGGUGCACAGAUUUGGUAUGUUUGCCCUUUGAGAAGUAAAGUUUUUAUCAGUUUAUAGUUUUAUCAGUUGCUGUGAAGUACAUCUUUUAUUUUUAUUCUGAAGGAAACCUCAGGAGUAGUCAAGUUUCCUCUGGGCACACAGGAGUCUUGCAUAUUGUUUGACUUCACAGAUGCCACAUUUCACUUGCCCUUCCUAUUUCUUCUUUUCAUAUUGCAGCCACUUCAUCUCCUUGGCAUUUUUUAUGAGUCAGAGUUGACCAAACCAAUCUUCCAAGGUUAAUUAUUAAUUUGAUUCAUCAAUAAUUCAAGCAUUUCUUUUCAGUUGUGUGAUGUCAUCUGUGUUAGUUAAGGACCUUAACUUUAGAUCAUCUCAAGUCAUGCCCUCUAACUCAUUUAUCAUUCUUACUGUCUAGUUUAAAAAUAUGAUGAAAAGCUGUAGUGAUUCUAUGCUUCCUUAUAUUAUAACAAGCAUUGGAGUUGUUUAAUUUUUCAUUAUUUUUUUUUACAAUGCUGCAAGAGUCUUCAAACACAGCUUUUAUAAUUGCAGUUAUAAGUUCUGAAUGCCACGUGACUUUGUAGCUUUCCAUGAUGUUUCCAAUCAAACUGAAACAAAAGUCCAUGAAAAGGACAAACAUCAUUAUUGACCUUCUCAUUUUCUUCAAUAGCCAGCAGAACAUGCAUUCCCAGGCAGUGCAGCUUAGGUGUGGUUUGAGGUUGCCCUAAAUGUCUUCCUCUUUUACUCUUUAAAAUGGCUUCUCUCUGCAAAUUAUUGCCAUGAUUUUCCUGAGUUAUAUUUCAGCAGAAUCUUUUUACCAGGUCUGUUCAAUUAUUGAUGGUAGUCAGUUCUUCUAUAUUUCUUCUUCCCCUUAUACAUAAUUCCAUCAAAAUUGACUGGAAAGUCAAAAUGCUCCCAACAUUUUCUUUAGCAUCAUAUUUUUCUUUAGCCACUGUGAUUAGUCUCAGCUUAACCAUUUUGCACAUUCAUUCUAUUUUUAUAUUCACAGGAUCACAUAAUGGCUCAGGUUGGAAGGUACCACAGUGGGUCAUCUGGUCCAACCUCCCUGCUCAAGCAGGGUCAUCCUAGAGUACAUGGCACAGGAUUGUGUUCAGAUGGUUGUUGAAUACCUCCAGUGAGGGAGACUCCACAAUCUCUUUGGGCAAGCUGUUCCAGUGCCUGGUCACCUUUCUGCCUAUUGCCUCUUACCCUACUGCUCAACACGACAGAGAAGAGCCUGGUCCAUCCUCUUGACACCCUACCUUCAAAUACUAAUAGACAUUGAUGAGAUUCCCUAUCAGUUGUCUCUUCUCAAGGUUGAACAGGCCCAAAUCUCUUAGCCUUUCCUUGUAAGAGAGAUGUUCCGGUUCCUUAAUCAUCUUUCUCUCUGUGAUCUUUAAAUAUCAACAAACUCUCUUGGACCCCUCUGAAAGUACAGGCAAUUUACAGAAGUAUUUGAUUGUGCCAAUAUCCCAGCAGGAUAUGGAUGGCUCAUAUUCCUAUCUUCUGGUUACAUCUUUGGGUGCUUGUGCUUGCUCGAUGUGUUCCCUCUUAACCCUCCUUUUGCUAAUAGGAUGGUCACUAUAGUUCUCCCUUUCCCACAGCUCAUCUCUGUUGAGCCUGGCCUUGUUCCCAUCCUCCUUCACGUCUAAUUUAAAGCUCUAGAUUACUGAUCUCUUUAAGUGCUGUUUUGUUUCCAAAACUUUUAUCAGUCUCAUUUUAGAAAUGUCUUCAUUCCUUACAAUGUCAUCAUACUUUCAGCUUUCCCUAGAACUAUGAUUUCUUUUUGUAUCUCAAUUUUUAUAAAACAUAUCUGACUAUUUCUGUCUUUAUAUCUUCCAAUAAUUUUCUUUCCUGAACUUAGUUUUGGUUUCCUGAAUAUUCCCUGUCCAGUCUGUAAUGAGAUUUCUUCAUCAACCUGAAUUAGUGGACUGCAAAAAUGUCUAAAUGGCACCUUGAAUAUCUUCCUCAUAGAACUUUCCUUUUAUUAAAAUUGAAUUUGAUUUCAACUACAACCAAUUUUGUAAUCUCAGAGUUGUUUUUUUCACUUAACUUUCUUUCCCACAGGGCUUUCAUGAACAGUGGCAUUUUCUACUCUCCUACGUUUAACAGCCAAUGCCUUUAUUAAUAAUAAAGUGCUCUCUUUUCCUUUUAGUGUUGGUAAGUGGCAAAUUCCAUAAAAGCUCCUGAUGUCUUUAGGAGAAAUCCACCUGCAGCCUGUAAUCAAACUGUGCAUCUCAAGGGAACCCUGAACUUUGCCCUGGACACUAUGAGAGAAAGAAAUUGCUGAGGGGGGAUGUUACCCAGAUUUAAACUGGGUUUAGUAUUUUUGUCAAGAAACCGAAUAACAACAUCUGUUUUUAAAAAAGUAAUGUCUGCUUUCAAGAAUCAUCAACUACCUGCACUGACAUAUCCUUCUCCUAAUAAUCCAUAAGGGACUAUUGAAAUAAUAACGAGUUACAAAUUUGUGAGAAUUGCUUUUGUAAAAAGAUGAUUUCACCAUUAAAAUAAUUAUGUUUUUAAAUUAUUAGCCCUCACAGUCACUAUUUAAAAGUAGACUGUGUCUAUUGUUUUUGAAUUUCUGAUCAAUUUUGUCUCAUGUUGUGGGUGGGUUGCUGUCAGAUGUUUGGCAGACUACAAUGAAAAUUAAGUUUUUUAGUCUAUGGGAAUACCCAUUAACCAUACACAUUUCCAAACUUUAAAAUGCAUGCUUGAAAAUUACAGUUGAUUAGAUUCUUUGUUGUGAAUUGCAGAACAAAAGCUGAAAAUCCAGCUCUGCUUUUCAUGUAUUAUAUCAAACAAUGAUGCAAUUCCACCAUUGUAUAGAAUAAAAGGUGUGUUCAUGUUUGAAGAACACAGUGUCCAUAAAGUUUAAUCUGCAGUCUUAUGUUCAGAGAGGUUUGUAAAUCGAUUCUUCACUAGAUGCUGUAACUCUUGUCGACUGAAGAUAAAUGGCUGAAUUCCAAGAGAAUACAACACAAAGAAAACCAUUAGCCCUGACAAUUCAUAAACAAAGUAAAGAAUAUUAUUCACUCUUUGUUCUUGUAAAAUAGUACCCAGGUUUCAAACAGGAAAAAGAAAGCUCAAAUAAACCAUUGCAAUUAUUUAGUCAAAAUGUGUUUGUUUAUGAACAAAAAAAGAAAAAAGGCUGGUUUCUUUAUAAGAAGUAAAAAGAAGGAGAAGAGGCAGGAGAAACCUCCAUAGUAAUCCCAACAGCUAUGUUAAUAGGUACAGCUUUGUUUUCAGCCUUUUUUGUUUUAUUAUCUCAAUCUUGCUGACCUAUUUCUUCACUGAAAAAAGAGUGUCUGAAGCACAUCGAAUGCUUCUAGGUCAGAGGUUCCCAGCGUCUGUGCACCAUGGUGACAGUCUCAGGAGAUUUUCCACCAGUAAGAGUUUUCACAAAUCUCUCAUGAAAACAUUCGGGUUACUGGAGGGUAGGAGGGUUGGGGCUUGGUGUGGGGUUUAUUUUGCACUAUAUGCAUUUGUCUUCAGCCUUUGUGAAUUUGAGAUUCCCUGGAUCACUUGGCUGCCUAGUCCCAGAAAUUAAAAUAUAUUUUACUUUUCUUUCUGUGACAUUAAAAAUGCAUUGCAAUGAAUAAUAUAGUAGGGCUGUGUAUAAAACUAAGGCUUCUGCAUUCCUUUUAAAUGUUUGUUCUUUAGCAGAGAUUCUCUGAGGGAAACUUAUUGAAAGGAUGAACAGUAAUUUAAUUUUUUAUCAUAAGCAUUAGUGGAAAAUAAAGGACAAAAGUACUUUGCAGGGUUGAAGAAAAGGAAAAGAUAUUUAUCAUGGGAAAAUACUGCAUCUGGGCUGAAUCUCUGGCACUGUGCAUUCUUUUUCUGUUCAAAGAGUGGCAAUAAGGAGAUUAAUAUUUAGAGUCUAGAAUCAUUUCCUAUUUAUGUCAUAAGCAGCAAGUACUAAAGUAACUUACCAUGAAAGUGUGCUUAAAAAAAGGGUACAGUCAAUAGAUAAAAGUACAGCUUUUGUGAGAAAUCAUUUUUAAAUUCUGCAAAUAAAUUCAGUAACUACUGGGUGUCCCCAGUAAUAUUCUGGAGGAGUGUUAAAAGUAAUAACAGGUCAAAUCAUCAAAUCAUACAUAUCAGUUUUUCUGAUACAUGGAAGACCUGCACUUUUGGAAGACAUCCUAUGAAAGUUGUUCCAGGAAUUUACCAGAUGUUCACAGAUUUGAAAUAUCAUGCCGCAUCGCUGAAAUUUCAGGGAGAAGAAAUAAGUGCUGCUGAAAGAUGAAAGAUUAUUGAAGUUAAGAUAUGUAUAGAACUCUUCAGUUCAGGUGCCAUUUGUGAUGUUCUUAUUCACUCAUGCACAACUUUUUCUGAUAUCAGUGUGAACUCAUACAUAACAAGGAGUAGGUCUUUUUACACUGCCAAAGGGCAGGAAAGAAAAAUAAAAGCAGCAAUGUUCCUUCUGCUUCCCAAAAGAAACUAUCAGUUGAUAAACUGAAGUCUAAAAACACGGCAUCGAACCUACCAAGUAUUUAAUUUUCUUUGCAAAUACCUCAUGAAUUGACAUCCUUUAUAAAAGCCAACAGACAGAUUGGUUUCAGUAGGUCAAAUGGAUUUGUUGAGGCACAUACUCCUGUUUCAUUCCUGCAUCACAGGUGCUAUCCAGCUUUGUUAUUUUUUUUUUUGCCUAAAAGGUAGAUAAAUUUUUUCUUCAGGACAGUCUCAGACCAAGCCCAAAGAUGCUUUCAUAUUUCACUGAGCUAUGCAAAAUACCCACCAAUAAUAUUGUAGCACAGUAAAUUGUCAAUAAAAUACUGGAGUUUCUGGAGUAUCUGUUUAAAAAAGCCCAUUUGUAAAGUCCACCUGUAAUAGUAAAUCACUAGUGACUGUUAUGUAUUGUAUCAGUUUCUCCCAGUUCUUGUAGUUACACAUCUCUUUCUCUCUCUCUCUCUCUCUUCCUCUCACAUAACACACAGACAAUUUUCCUGUUACAAAUUGUAAGAAUUGUUUUUCCUGACAUCUAUCCCAAAAACAUGGCUAUUCUCUAGCAAUUUGCCAAAACUUGAUAAUGCUAAAAUAACGUCUUGCACAUACUAUCCCAAAAAUGAGAAGAGAACUGAGUUGCAGAAGAAAUCCUUCAUGUAGAAGCCUUGAGACAAGAAUACUAGCUAUGAACAAAAAUAUCCUAUGUGAUGGGAAUUUCUGUGUGAACUGCUUCCAAAACCCAAGUUAAUCUAUAUUGAAAGUGCCAUUUUCAAGCUGAAUGAGCUGUUACAAAGCGUUACUGUUUCUAUUUUUGUCCUUGUUAUUAUUCUAAGCACACUUAUUGUUUGGGGAGCAAUGAAAAUUGUAUAAUGUUCAAAAGCAGAAAGUAUCAGUAUUUAGUGCAAGCCUUUUGUCACUCUUCUCACAGCAAAUCACUUGGAAUAGCAAUGGUGUAAAAAAUGACAAUAGCCCCACCAAACUUGCAGCAUUCUGCACUUCAGUUUACCAGGCCUGCACCAGCUGCAGGAUAAAACCAGCAUGACUAAGUCAGUCAAGGAAAAUGCUUUACCCUCAAGGCUUUCUAGUCCACUCCACAAUAUGGGGAUGUCUCAGCCACUUUCAAAGGAAUGGGAGAUUUGUAGGGCAGACCCUACCAAUUAUGUGUAACCAGGAGUGAAUGCAGACUUCAGAACACCAAAACUUUCCACAUAUCACUAGGCAGUCAUAUUACUGAUAUUUUUUGCAACUUCCUGAUACUUUGAAAAUCCUCAGAUUGUAAUUUAGAUUAUUAAAACCUUGGUUUGAGAGAGCAAUGGGAAAGCAAAAUUUCAGUACUGCUCUUUCUCAAAAGAAGGACUGUGUCCAAAAAAGGGGUUUUGGCUUUGAACACAUUCUUGUCUAAUGCAAUUUAAUCUAACCACCAAGUCAAAGCUUAAUACAGAAAGAAGAUCUUAUCCUGAAACAACUGGUAUGGUUGCAUACGUUUUCUGUGCACAUGUUUGUGUUCUGUUUACCUAUGUAUAGAUGUGGUCAUGACUUAUGUGGGCACAAGCCAAAAAUAGUUAAAAGCACAGUGUAUGUUCUAAUGAUGUUUAGUGUCGUGACACUAAGUGAAACAGCAGAAGUAGGAAAUCUCAUGGCAAACUUAUUCUUGUGCUAUGGAACUGAACAAGUCCUCUAGCAAGAAGAAGCCCAAGAAAAGAAACAGUUAUACAGUUUGUAUUCUUUCUUAAGAUGAAAAGUGAAAUCAAUUUGGGAAGUAAAAAUACAGGUCACAGGAAGAACAGGAAAGGAACAAAGAGACAGAAGGAGUAGUUGCAUAGAGAAAUGUCAGGUAAGCCUAUUUGGUGAAAGCACUUGAAAGCACUUUGAAAAAUAACAAUGGUCUCCAAGGAUUUCUGAUGGAGCAGUCUCACAUCCUGUAAUUUGCACUGAAGGCUCUCACAUACAAGCAGCAUCUUGAAAUGUCACCUUUUCUCAUCUCUAAUGUCUCCAGUGGAUGUCCAGCUAAGCAGCUGGGGAUCUCGCAGCAGCUAAGCUGUUAAACUUUUAUCACCUGAAAGAGGAAACCUUGUCACCUUGAACAGGAUUUUCUUCACAGGAAUCUAGUACUAUGAAUUGGAGUCAGGACUUUUCUGCUAUUACCAUCCAAAAUGUAAAACCCAAGUGUUAAUAUUCUGUAAUGAAGACAUGCAGAAGAGGAAGUAAAUACCUCCAGAAAGGUAAGGAGCAUAGGCAGGUAGUGUUGUUGGUCCAGAACUUGUGAACUGUCUCGCGUCUAACACUGUGACCUUGGGUAAGCAGCCUGACUUGCCUGCAUUUCAGUUUUGUCUUCUCUAAAUUAGUGCACUUUGGUGCCAAAGAUACUUUAAGACAUGUAAUCAAUGCAUACACACAGUUUUGAGGGUGUUACUUUUUGCAGGUAUUAAUUUUGAUAUUUGGUAUUCUAAGCUAUUGUUUGAUUUUUCUCCUUUGGUACGUGCUGGUGACUUCUCUGUACAUUUAAAAUCCUGAACAGUUCACAGAGCCAAAAUAGAGCAGGACUCUUGGAGAUAACCAAACUGUGAGGCCAAUAUGGAAAAGGCUAGAGAGUUGUGAAAAGCGAUGUGUGGAAGAGAUAGUGGAAGGAAGAAAAAAUGAUGGCAAGAAAGGACAUGACUGCUUGUGAUUGCAGUCCUCAAGUCAGCUCAGUAAUGCUUCUGGGAAAGCAAAAAUGGGAUGCAAGAUGAAUGAGAGACUGG
This is a long non-coding RNA of Pseudopipra pipra, 12430 nucleotides long. RefSeq lists it as uncharacterized. The record is from RefSeq and is a predicted model, not a curated record. NCBI's taxonomy places the organism in Eukaryota, Metazoa, Chordata, Aves, Passeriformes, Pipridae. The transcript is spliced from 3 exons.